Long non-coding RNA from Piliocolobus tephrosceles (Ugandan red Colobus), 256 nucleotides. RefSeq lists it as uncharacterized. NCBI's taxonomy places the organism in Eukaryota, Metazoa, Chordata, Mammalia, Primates, Cercopithecidae. The transcript is spliced from 3 exons. The record is from RefSeq and is a predicted model, not a curated record.
CGCAGACGGACCAGGACCUGAGACCCGCUUCCUUCACUCUCACGGCCUCUCUGGGGUGCCGUGCCUCCACGUGACCCCCUUUCCCAGGAUCCUGGGAGCUCCUUCCAGUUCCUACCUCUGGACGAUGAAAACUGAAGGUGCCGAGACUUGGGAACCCCAAUCACCCUCGCCGAGCCGCGGGUAACUCUCCUGGUAGCGCAGGAAGUAGCCAGACAGACCACGGCGCCCCUUUAUCACUAUUAUCAAUAAAAGGUUG